UACGUAGGGGGCAAGCGUUGUCCGGAAUCACUGGGCGUAAAGGGCGCGUAGGCGGCCUUGGUAAGUAGGGGGUGAAAUCCUGCGGCUUAACCGCAGGGCUGCCUUCUAAACUGUCAGGCUUGAGCACGGUAGAGGCAGAUGGAAUUCCCGGUGUAGCGGUGGAAUGCGUAGAGAUCGGGAAGAACAUCAGUGGCGAAGGCGGUCUGCUGGGCCGUUGCUGACGCUGAGGCGCGACAGCGUGGGGAGCAAACAGG
Molecule: ribosomal RNA, 254 nt
Filed under: uncultured bacterium
Lineage: Bacteria
Description: partial 16S ribosomal RNA
Rfam family: Bacterial small subunit ribosomal RNA
Source: RNAcentral